Molecule: ribosomal RNA, 801 nt
Filed under: uncultured Rhizophagus
Lineage: Eukaryota; Fungi; Glomeromycota; Glomeromycetes; Glomerales; Glomeraceae
Description: SSU rRNA
Rfam family: Eukaryotic small subunit ribosomal RNA
Source: RNAcentral
AUCAACUUUCGAUGGUAGGAUAGAGGCCUACCAUGGUGGUAACGGGUAACGGGGUGUUAGGGCACGACACCGGAGAGGGAGCCUGAGAAACGGCUACCACAUCCAAGGAUGGCAGCAGGCGCGCAAAUUACCCAAUCCCGACACGGGGAGGUAGUGACAAUAAAUAACAAUACGGGGUCCUUUCGGGUUUCGUAAUUGGAAUGAGUACAAUUUAAAUCUCUUAACGAGGAACAAUUGGAGGGCAAGUCUGGUGCCAGCAGCCGCGGUAAUUCCAGCUCCAAUAGCGUAUAUUAAAGUUGUUGCAGUUAAAAAGCUCGUAGUUGAAUUUCGGGAUUAGUACGUUGGUCGUGCCUUCGGUACGUACUGGUGUUACUGAUUCCUACCUUCUGACGAACCAUCAUGUCAUUAAUUUGGUGUGGCGGGGAAUCAGGACUGUUACUUUGAAAAAAUUAGAGUGUUUAAAGCAGGCUCGCGCUUGAAUACAUUAGCAUGGAAUAAUGAAAUAGGACGUUGACCCUAUUUGUUGGUUUCUAGGAUUGACGUAAUGAUUAAUAGGGAUAGUUGGGGGCAUUAGUAUUCAAUUGUCAGAGGUGAAAUUCUUGGAUUUAUUGGAGACUAACUACUGCGAAAGCAUUUGCCAAGGAUGUUUUCAUUAAUCAAGAACGAAAGUUAGGGGAUCGAAGACGAUCAGAUACCGUCGUAGUCUUAACCAUAAACUAUGCCGACUAGGGAUCGGAUGAUGUUAUUUUUAAUGACUCAUUCGGCGCCUUACGGGAAACCAAAGUGUUUGGGAAUCACUAG